RNAcentral lists this transfer RNA (72 nucleotides) under Capra hircus (goat). It matches the Rfam family "tRNA". Rfam says of the family: Transfer RNA (tRNA) molecules are approximately 80 nucleotides in length. Their secondary structure includes four short double-helical elements and three loops (D, anti-codon, and T loops). The record is from Rfam by way of RNAcentral. RNAcentral also lists the same sequence under 1 other name. Lineage: Eukaryota; Metazoa; Chordata; Mammalia; Artiodactyla; Bovidae.
UCCCUGGCAGUCCAGUCGUUAAGACUCCACACUUCCAAUGCAGGGACACAGGUUCAAUCCCUGACCAGAGAA